This 431-nucleotide ribosomal RNA is filed under the name uncultured bacterium. Its description in RNAcentral is "bacterial SSU rRNA". It matches the Rfam family "Bacterial small subunit ribosomal RNA", at positions 8 to 441 of the family's 1533-position model. The record is from RNAcentral.
AGAGUUUGAUCCUGGCUCAGAUUGAACGCUGGCGGCAUGCCUUACACAUGCAAGUCGAACGGCAGCACGGGAGCAAUCCUGGUGGCGAGUGGCGAACGGGUGAGUAAUAUAUCGGAACGUGCCCAGUCGUGGGGGAUAACGUAGCGAAAGCUACGCUAAUACCGCAUACGAUCUAUGGAUGAAAGCGGGGGAUCGCAAGACCUCGCGCGAUUGGAGCGGCCGAUAUCAGAUUAGCUAGUUGGUGGGGUAAAGGCCCACCAAGGCGACGAUCUGUAGCUGGUCUGAGAGGACGACCAGCCACACUGGAACUGAGACACGGUCCAGACUCCUACGGGAGGCAGCAGUGGGGAAUUUUGGACAAUGGGCGCAAGCCUGAUCCAGCAAUGCCGCGUGCAGGACGAAGGCCUUCGGGUUGUAAACUGCUUUUGUAC